This 253-nucleotide ribosomal RNA is filed under the name uncultured bacterium. RNAcentral describes it as "partial 16S ribosomal RNA". It matches the Rfam family "Bacterial small subunit ribosomal RNA", at positions 524 to 776 of the family's 1533-position model. The record is from RNAcentral.
UACGGGGGGGGUAAGCGUUGUUCGGAAUUACUGGGCGUAAAGGGCUCGUAGGCGGCCAACUAAGUCAGACGUGAAAUCCCUCAGCUCAACUCUGGAACUGCCUCUGAUACUGGCGACCUAGAGUCCGGAAGAGGUUAGUGGAAUUCCCAGUGUAGAGGUGAAAUUCGUAGAUAUUGGGAAGAACACCAGUGGCGAAGGCGGCUAACUGGUCCGGUACUGACGCUGAGGUGCGAAAGCGUGGGGAGCAAACAGG